CUCUACAUUCUCAGAGUAAAGCCCCUUUCCAAAUGAAGAGUCAGGAAGAAGUGGAGAUGAAGGGAAUUGAACUUGUGAAAACCAUGUCCCUGUAUCUUCUAGCAAGGAUUCAACAGACCAAAACUUGGAAGGAAUGUUGGCAUGGACAGAAAGAACUACAAGAAAAGCCUUCUGGUUGGUGCUUAGUGUGGAAAAGGAUUCACCGCCCCCCCCCCCCCCCUUCAGAAGAGAAGAAAGAAAAUCCCCUCUUUAAGAAAUUUUCAGUUUUCUCUGCCCUUGCAGUUGCAGGGUCUCUACCAGUUAGGCCACUCUGCCAGCCCUUUUUUGUUUGGUAUUUUUGAGAUAGGGUCUCAUGAACUAUUUACCCAGGCUGGCUUCCAAUCCUGUUUCUCCUGAUCUCUGCCUCCUGAGUAGCUAGGAUUACAUGUGUGAGCCACUGGUGCCUGGUUUCUCUUCUCUCUCUACUUGACCUCUCCUCUUUCUACUUGACCCUAAGGGUUGCUAUAUUCUUGGGUAGUGUAGAGUGCAGUGCAGUACAUUAGUCCCAGUUACCUGACUAGAGGACAAAAAAGGAGCUGCAGAGAAACCAAAAUCACUAGAGACAGUGCAGAGAGGGCAGGGCUUUAGAAGUUGAUGACAAAGUUGGUUAUUAGUUGUGGGCUGACUCUGAGCUACUCAUGCCUUUAUCUCACCCUAAAGAAUAUAACUACCACAAUCCUUACUGAGAAGUGAACUGAGGAACUGACAACCAGCCAUUCUCAAGAUGGCCACUGGGUGGUGCUGCACAAGCAAAUCGAGACACUACAAAGGCUUUGAUAAGAAACUGAUGCUUUAAAAAAAAAAAUUAGUAUAUAUUCGUUGUACAGGGGGCAUUUUAAAUAGGCUUGCAUUGUACGUUAGUUAGUUUGCCCCCUCCAUCUUCCCUCCCCCUUGCAACCUCUUCCCUGCCGCACUUAAAGCACUUGCAAGAGGUUUCACCAUUCUGUUUCAUGUAUGUAUAUGCAGCACAUCAACCAUAUUCCUCACCUUCAUCUCCUCCAUUUCCCAUCCCCCUCCAUAAACACAGUUCACAGAGAAGGCUGAUUGGAACUUGUAACCUAUACAAAAUGUUAACACUCUCCAUAGUAUUUAAACAUGCAAAGUCUUCUAACAUGUCUAAAAUGUCCAUUCAGUGCAAAAUUUCUCAUCAAGAAAAAACAAAACAACUGAAGAAUCUCAAUUCACAAAGGAAAAGGCAACAGAUACUAACAUCAGUAUGAUACAAAUGUUGGAAUCAUCUGACAGAUAUUUUAAAGUUGCCCUAAUAAAUGCUCCAAUGAGUAAGAUUAAGCA
This 1332-nucleotide long non-coding RNA is filed under the name Castor canadensis (American beaver). Its description in RNAcentral is "lncRNA (ENSCCNG00000005859.1)". The record is from RNAcentral. Lineage: Eukaryota; Metazoa; Chordata; Mammalia; Rodentia; Castoridae.